CUUUUCUAAACCAGCCCUAGAACCAGAAACAAUACCCACUUCAACAGCCUCAAGGCACAUUAAGGGGUGUUUCAGGUUGGGGGCUUGCCUGCGUGUCUGACCCUUGGCAAACUUCAGUAUCUCCCUUGCCUCUCCAAGAGGAGGCAACUUAUCAGUCUUUAAAACACUAGAAACCCAUGGUUUUUUUCUCUCGGCUAUGUCAAGAGCCCAGCGACGAGCAGCGUUUAGUAACUCGGCAGGUGGCACGACAGCAUCAACAAGGCCCAAUGAAUGACCUUGCUCAGCUUUAACCGGCUUAGAUGUCUAUAAAUUUAAACAAAAUAAAUAUCGUUACGAUUUUAAACAAAGCAGAGUAACCCUACCAUAAGAAUAAGGCACUGACGACGUACCAAAAUCAUCUCAAGGGCUUUUGUAAGACCAACAAGACGUGGAAGACGCUGUGUUCCUGCAUCAAAUCCAAAGUAGCAUAAUUAAGAAAGUAAAGAACGGAAGUGACUAGAUUCUUUCAACAUAAACAUGAAUCACAUAUCCCAUGUUUUCAGUUCUUAUGCCAAAAACAUAUGAUUGUUCCAUAGGAUUCACAGUUUCUAGCUUCUAUAUGAUCAAAAUCUGUAUUCUGCCGCAAAAACAUUAAUAAUUUGACAAUUAAGUACCUCCAAACCCAGGAAUAACACCGAGUUGCAGCUCCGGCAGACCUAACUGUGCACCAGGGGCUGAGAUCCUUGCAUGGCAAGCCUGAAACAAAAAUAAAAAAAUACAAUUGUAUCAACAUCCACCCUAAUAAAUAAUGUUCACCAGACUCGGCAGUUUCUAGAGGAGUUUUGAGUAUAUAACAUAGAAAGUCUACCAUGGCGAGCUCUAACCCUCCUCCCAAGGCAAGCCCAUCAAUGGCAGCAACAGACGGUUUUUUUGCAGCUGAAAUCCAAAGAAAUUAAUAGACCACUCAGAAAUAAUAAAUCACCAGAACCAUUGAAGGUAUUCAUUCACCUUCAAGCAAAUCGGUGAUGAUGUCAAUUGAUAUGUAUCCAGGCUUUGGCGCUUUUCCUGAGAAAAUAAGCAGUAUACAUUACUACAAACACUAAUACAAUCAGCAAAGAUACCAAGAGACACUGAAAACGUUACUUGUCCCUUUCUGAAUAUCACCAAAACCAGAUAUAUCAAAUCCACCAGAGAACCUCCCCCUCAAUAAUCUCCUUUUCCGACAGUUUUGCCAGCUGCAAGAAGCCACAACAAUCAGUCAGAGUGAGAUCUUCCCAAAUGCAAAAAUGAAGAUCUUUACCUUAGGGUCAAGGUUCACUCCUGAUACGCUCCUUGCCUUCUCGAUAUAUUUCUUAAUCUCAGGAUCAGGUUUAGCCUUUCGCUUUUCAUCAUAAAGAUAGAAACCUUUACGCGUGGCUUCACCUGAAAUCAACAGGAAAGUUCACAAGAUUUACCAAAAAUAUGUUAAAUCAAUAAAAACAUUAUAUAGCUGUCCUCUCUGAUAUACCAGCUCUCUUGUCCUCUUGCAUGAGUGGGAUAAUCAUUGAUUUGUUUGUCCUUUCUGGAAAGUUCUCGAUGAAUUGCGUAGCGGUUGCAAUCGCCACACCGAAUCCAACCAAAUCGCACAAUCUUACUCAUUCAUAUAAGGAACAAAAGUAUUAACAAAAGGUGUACGAGAGAUUCACAUGGUUCUUUAAAAUGUGAUAUACUACCUGAAGGGACCCAUUGGCAUUCCAAACUUGCUGACUGCCUUGUCAAUCAGAUAUGGAUCUGUUCCACGUUCAACAAGGAACAUAGCUGCCUGUGUGUAUGGAAAGAACAUCCUGUUAACUGCAAACCCUGUGCAGUUUCCCACCACCACUGGCGUUUUCUUGAUCUUCUUCCCAACAUCUAACAGGUCAACAAUUACUUGUGCACAUGUAUGAUUGGUCCGAACUAUUUCAAGUAGUGGCAUGACAUGUGCCGGACUGCAUCAUAAAAAUGAAUAUAGACAUGAUUCGUCUAGAGCGAGUAAAAACACUACAAGCAUAAGACUUCAUCCAAACUGCAACGGAUUAAGUAAGCACCUGAAAAAAUGUGCUCCAAUAAUCCGAUCCUGGGACUUGGUCCGCUCCCCAAUUUUGUUCAAAUCAAUGGUAGAUGUGUUGCUAGCAAGGAUACAAUGUUGAGGACAGUACUUCUCUAGAUCAGCAAAUAUUUUCUGUUUCAAAGAUAUAUUCUCAAUGACAGCCUGUCCAAGCCACCAAAAAGACAUUAAACAAAGUCAAUCACUUAGCUUGCCAUGUAGAAAACAACUUCAGCUUCACUAUGCUCAUUAUUACCUCGAUGACCAUGUCCACAUCCCUAAAGCUUUCAUAGUCAAGAGAACCCUUAAGGAGUGACAUGGUUUUCUCAAACCUUUCCUGUGUCAUCCUUCCUUUCUUUACACUGCUCUGAAGAUUAGCUGAUUAAAUUAAUGAAAUUAGUCAUAUCAAGCUUUUUUUUUCAAUUCGUUGGUAAGCAAUGUAGAGAAAUCAAUCCCCACCUUUGACCCUGCCAAGUCCAGCCUCCAAGAACUUCUCAUUUACCUCCUUGAGAAUCACUGGAUAGUUGCUGAGGAUCAAUGCAGUGGCAAUUCCAGAUCCCAUUAACCCGCCUCCAAUUAUGGCUACCUUUUUAAUCUUCCUUGGCACCAACCCGCGAUCAGUAACUCCAGGAACCUGUCCAUAAGAUAUUAGAUUGGAAAGAAUCAAAAAUAGAGGAAAAGCUAAUAGUUACUAUUUUGUAAAAAAGAAAAUGAAACCAGAGUUUGGUAGUACAUAAGUCUAAAUGACAUGACUGCAUAAACACUCACAAACCUUUGUAGUUCCUCGCUGAGAAAAGAAGACAUGGAUCAAGCUUUUGGUGGUAUCCAGCUUAACCACUUGUGAGGAGAUUAGAGCCUCCUAUAAGUGACAAUGUGAUGGAAAUUCGUAAAAGGUUAGUACACUCAGGGGAAACGUUUCAAAACAUAUAAUGCAGAUACGACAAGAUAGUAAUAUACCUUUUCUAAACCAGCCCUAGAACCAGAAACAAUACCCACUUCAACAGCCUCAAGGCACAUUAAGGGGUGUUUCAGGUUGGGGGCUUGCCUGCGUGUCUGACCCUUGGCAAACUUCAGUAUCUCCCUUGCCUCUCCAAGAGGAGGCAACUUAUCAGUCUUUAAAACACUAGAAACCCAUGGUUUUUUUCUCUCGGCUAUGUCAAGAGCCCAGCGACGAGCAGCGUUUAGUAACUCGGCAGGUGGCACGACAGCAUCAACAAGGCCCAAUGA
This 3271-nucleotide long non-coding RNA is filed under the name Brassica napus (rape). RNAcentral's name for it is "long non-coding RNA (BNAP_LNC012034)". The record is from RNAcentral. Lineage: Eukaryota; Viridiplantae; Streptophyta; Magnoliopsida; Brassicales; Brassicaceae.